RNAcentral lists this ribosomal RNA (2889 nucleotides) under Klebsiella pneumoniae. RNAcentral describes it as "bacterial LSU rRNA". It matches the Rfam family "Bacterial large subunit ribosomal RNA". The record is from RNAcentral. Lineage: Bacteria; Pseudomonadati; Pseudomonadota; Gammaproteobacteria; Enterobacterales; Enterobacteriaceae.
UUAAGCGACUAAGCGUACACGGUGGAUGCCCUGGCAGUCAGAGGCGAUGAAGGACGUGCUAAUCUGCGAAAAGCGUCGGUAAGGUGAUAUGAACCGUUACAGCCGGCGAUGUCCGAAUGGGGAAACCCAGUGCAAUUCGUUGCACUAUCGUUAACUGAAUACAUAGGUUAACGAGGCGAACCGGGGGAACUGAAACAUCUAAGUACCCCGAGGAAAAGAAAUCAACCGAGAUUCCCCCAGUAGCGGCGAGCGAACGGGGAGCAGCCCAGAGUCUGAAUCAGCUUGUGUGUUAGUGGAACGGUCUGGAAAGUCCGACGGUACAGGGUGAUAGUCCCGUACACCAAAAUGCACAGGUUGUGAACUCGAAGAGUAGGGCGGGACACGUGGUAUCCUGUCUGAAUAUGGGGGGACCAUCCUCCAAGGCUAAAUACUCCUGACUGACCGAUAGUGAACCAGUACCGUGAGGGAAAGGCGAAAAGAACCCGGCGAGGGGAGUGAAAAGAACCUGAAACCGUGUACGUACAAGCAGUGGGAGCACCUUCGGGUGUGACUGCGUACCUUUUGUAUAAUGGGUCAGCGACUUAUAUUCUGUAGCAAGGUUAACCGUAUAGGGGAGCCGCAGGAAACCGAGUCUUAACUGGGCGUUAAGUUGCAGGGUAUAGACCCGAAACCCGGUGAUCUAGCCAUGGGCAGGUUGAAGGUUGGGUAACACUAACUGGAGGACCGAACCGACUAAUGUUGAAAAAUUAGCGGAUGACUUGUGGCUGGGGUGAAAGGCCAAUCAAACCGGGAGAUAGCUGGUUCUCCCGAAAGCUAUUUAGGUAGCGCCUCGUGAACUCAUCUUCGGGGUAGAGCACUGUUUCGGCUAGGGGUCAUCCCGACUUACCAACCCGAUGCAAACUACGAAUACCGAAGAAUGUUAUCACGGGAGACACACGGCGGGUGCUAACGUCCGUCGUGAAGAGGGAAACAACCCAGACCGCCAGCUAAGGUCCCAAAGUCAUGGUUAAGUGGGAAACGAUGUGGGAAGGCACAGACAGCCGGAUGUUGGCUUAGAAGCAGCCAUCAUUUAAAGAAAGCGUAAUAGCUCACUGGUCGAGUCGGCCUGCGCGGAAGAUGUAACGGGGCUAAACCAUGCACCGAAGCUGCGGCAGCGACACUAUGUGUUGUUGGGUAGGGGAGCGUUCUGUAAGCCUGCGAAGGUGUGCUGUGAGGCAUGCUGGAGGUAUCAGAAGUGCGAAUGCUGACAUAAGUAACGAUAAAGCGGGUGAAAAGCCCGCUCGCCGGAAGACCAAGGGUUCCUGUCCAACGUUAAUCGGGGCAGGGUGAGUCGACCCCUAAGGCGAGGCCGAAAGGCGUAGUCGAUGGGAAACAGGUUAAUAUUCCUGUACUUGGUGUUACUGCGAAGGGGGGACGGAGAAGGCUAUGUUAGCCGGGCGACGGUUGUCCCGGUUUAAGCAUGUAGGCUGGUUAUCCAGGCAAAUCCGGAUAAUCAAGGCUGAGGUGUGAUGACGAGGCACUACGGUGCUGAAGUAACAAAUGCCCUGCUUCCAGGAAAAGCCUCUAAGCAUCAGGUAACAUCAAAUCGUACCCCAAACCGACACAGGUGGUCAGGUAGAGAAUACCAAGGCGCUUGAGAGAACUCGGGUGAAGGAACUAGGCAAAAUGGUGCCGUAACUUCGGGAGAAGGCACGCUGGUGUGUAGGUGAAGUCCCUGCGGAUGGAGCUGAGACCAGUCGAAGAUACCAGCUGGCUGCAACUGUUUAUUAAAAACACAGCACUGUGCAAACACGAAAGUGGACGUAUACGGUGUGACGCCUGCCCGGUGCCGGAAGGUUAAUUGAUGGGGUUAUCCGUAAGGAGAAGCUCUUGAUCGAAGCCCGGUAAACGGCGGCCGUAACUAUAACGGUCCUAAGGUAGCGAAAUUCCUUGUCGGGUAAGUUCCGACCUGCACGAAUGGCGUAAUGAUGGCCAGGCUGUCUCCACCCGAGACUCAGUGAAAUUGAACUCGCUGUGAAGAUGCAGUGUACCCGCGGCAAGACGGAAAGACCCCGUGAACCUUUACUAUAGCUUGACACUGAACAUUGAGCCUUGAUGUGUAGGAUAGGUGGGAGGCUUUGAAGCGUGGACGCCAGUCUGCGUGGAGCCAACCUGAAAUACCACCCUUUAAUGUUUGAUGUUCUAACGUUGGCCCCUGACCGGGGUUGCGGACAGUGUCUGGUGGGUAGUUUGACUGGGGCGGUCUCCUCCCAAAGCGUAACGGAGGAGCACGAAGGUUAGCUAAUCCUGGUCGGACAUCAGGAGGUUAGUGCAAUGGCAUAAGCUAGCUUGACUGCGAGCGUGACGGCGCGAGCAGGUGCGAAAGCAGGUCAUAGUGAUCCGGUGGUUCUGAAUGGAAGGGCCAUCGCUCAACGGAUAAAAGGUACUCCGGGGAUAACAGGCUGAUACCGCCCAAGAGUUCAUAUCGACGGCGGUGUUUGGCACCUCGAUGUCGGCUCAUCACAUCCUGGGGCUGAAGUAGGUCCCAAGGGUAUGGCUGUUCGCCAUUUAAAGUGGUACGCGAGCUGGGUUUAGAACGUCGUGAGACAGUUCGGUCCCUAUCUGCCGUGGGCGCUGGAGAAUUGAGGGGGGCUGCUCCUAGUACGAGAGGACCGGAGUGGACGCAUCACUGGUGUUCGGGUUGUCAUGCCAAUGGCACUGCCCGGUAGCUAAAUGCGGAAGAGAUAAGUGCUGAAAGCAUCUAAGCACGAAACUUGCCCCGAGAUGAGUUCUCCCUGAGACUAUAAGUCUCCUGAAGGAACGUUAAAGACGAUGACGUUGAUAGGCCGGGUGUGUAAGCGCAGCGAUGCGUUGAGCUAACCGGUACUAAUGAACCGUGAGGCUUAACCU